Non-coding RNA from Oryctolagus cuniculus (rabbit), 2300 nucleotides. NCBI's taxonomy places the organism in Eukaryota, Metazoa, Chordata, Mammalia, Lagomorpha, Leporidae. The record is from RefSeq and is a predicted model, not a curated record.
CUCACAGCGAAAGAGGAGUAAGGCUGGUGAGGCUCGGUCAAGGAGUGAGAGGAGCAGCUUUCUGUUCUGUUCUUUUUCUUUCUUUCUUUCUUUUUUUUUUUUUUAAUUUAUUUAUUUGGAAAGACUUACAGAGAGAGAAGGAGAGAGAGCGAGAGAGCUUCCAACUGCUGGUUCACUCCCCAGAUAGCCACAACAGCCAAGGCUGGGCCAGGCCGAAGCCAGGAGCCAGGAGCUUCAUCCAGAUCUCCCACAUGGGUGGCAGGGGCUCAAGCACUUGGGCCCUCCUCCACUGCUUUCCCAGGCUAUGAGCAGGGAGCUGGGUUGGAAGUGGAGCAGCCGGGACAUGAACUGGCACCCACAUGGGAUGCCAGCGUCACAGUCGGUGGCUUUACCCGCCACACCACAGCGCUGGCCCCAAGGAGCAGCUUUCAACAUUAAUUUUCUUCUCCUAAUAUUAGACUUUGAUUAGAGGUUGAGAGCUUUUUUUCAUUAAGAACUUUGCAGUGUCCAUUUCCAAAUCACAGCUAGUUAAUAAGAUUUCUAUUUUAUCAAGCAUUGAAAAUGCUGUUUCAAAAAGCUAGCUAGCUGUGUUGCCAUGCGGGGAGGUCUAUUUUAUUCACGGAUUCUUAGGAAGCUGAAAAGUAGCAGCAGGAGCCACAGUGAUGAGGAGAAAUUGUGUGCUGUGUCAAGUGAAUGAAGAUGAACCAGGCACUUCAUGAGCAUUACCUUUUUAAGAACAUAUUAUUUAUUUUGAAACACAGAGCAAUAGAGAGAGAGAAAGACAGACAGACAGACAGCACUUCUAUUUGCUGAUCCACUCCCCAAAUAGUGCAAUGGCCAGGUUUGAGCCAGGCAGAAGCCAGGAUUCUAAUCAGGUCUCCCAUGGGACUGGCAGGGGCCCCAACACGUGAGCCAUCUUCUGCCGUGUUUCAGGCACAUUAUCAGGGAGCCGGAUUGGAAGCAAGCAGCUGGGACUCGAACCCAUGCUCCGGCAGACGCUGGCAUUGCACGUGGCAUCCUAACCCACUGAGACACAGCGCUGGCACCUCUGUCCAUCAUGCUUCAGCCUCCAAGCAGCCAUGCAAGGGUGAGCUCUGUUCUUGCCUGCAUUUUACAGAGGAACAGAGCAGUUGUCCAAGGCAGUUGGUGGACUUGUGAGAGACCGGAAAGAGAGGCCAGACACAGUGUUGCUCCUGCCCCAGCCAGAAGUAGAAUGGGAGCCCCCUCUUUCUAGGGUUGGGUCUCUGGAGAUGGGGCUCUGUGCCUUUUCUCAUUCUCUGUUUUCUAUUUUCCUCUAUUCCUGUCUUUUUUGCUUGCAACAGAAACGUUUAUUUAUAAAUAGCUACUAAUUGACCAGUGCCCCCUCACUGUCAAGGAUUGUUGAACACAACUUGGCCCAGGCCUCCAAGGGGUCUCACUCCAGUGGGAGAGGCAGACAGGGACUGUGGAGUCGGUGCUGAGUGGGGAGAGGGAUGAACAGAGCAGCUGGGGAUGGCACAGGGGGAAAAGCAAUGAGGAGGAGGCGAGGAACAGCCCAAGAGACGGCAGUGGGGCAGGAUCACGAAGAAUCCAGACUCAGCAAGUACUGGGGGCUGAGCUGUGCCCCUCCCAAGUUUGUACGCUGAAGCCCUGACCACCAGGGUGAUGUCUUGGAAGACGAGAACUUUGGGAAGUGCUUAGGGGAAGUCCUGAGAGGGGCUUCCAUGAUGGAACUGGUGGCCUCCUCAGAAGAAUGAGAGACCCUCUGUGUCCACUGUGUUAGGGCACGGUGAGACCAGGUCAGGAAGGGAACCCUCACCGGGGACCAAACAGGCCAGCACGUUGAUCAUGAAUGUCCUAGCCUGCAGAAUGAUGACAAAUGGACAUCUGUCCCCAGAGCCACCCAGCAAGUGGUAUUUGUUACAGCGGCCCCAGCAGACCUAAGACCUUGGGCAAACGAGAGAAAGGCACACCUGGUGCAGAGAGGCGAAGCGGAGUCGCAGAUGCUGGGAUGUUCAGGACUCUGCAGGUGUGGCAGGUCCUCCACUUGGACUGAACGCUCAGGGCUGUUUGGAAACCCUCGAGUGAGCUGUCCUUGGCGUGUUCCAAUCCCUGAUUCUGCUGGGGAGCAAGUUUUCAGCUGUUGCGACGAAUGUUGAUGAACUUGGUCCAGCACGCCCAAGUGCUUGCUCAGAGCUCACCAGGCACCUGAACCGUUGGGGCGAGGGCCCCUAAACUGGUAGGGUUAGAGAUGCCAAUAACGAAGAGCAGGCACAGCCUGAGCAGGUUACGGUGGAAAAUAAAACCCGUUCUUAUCUGGG